Molecule: ribosomal RNA, 454 nt
Filed under: uncultured bacterium
Lineage: Bacteria
Description: SSU rRNA
Rfam family: Bacterial small subunit ribosomal RNA
Source: RNAcentral
AGAGCGAACGCUGGCGGCAUGCUUAACACAUGCAAGUCGCACGGGCAGGGGCAACCCUGUCAGUGGCGGACGGGUGAGUAACGCGUAGGUAUCUAUCCUUGGGUGGGGGACAACCGUGGGAAACUACGGCUAAUACCGCAUGAUGACUGAGGUCCAAAGCCCGCGAGGGUGCCUGGGGAGGAGCCUGCGUACGAUUAGCUAGUUGGUGGGGUAAAGGCCUACCAAGGCUGUGAUCGUUAGCUGGUCUGAGAGGAUGAUCAGCCACAUUGGGACUGAGACACGGCCCAAACUCCUACGGGAGGCAGCAGUGGGGAAUAUUGGACAAUGGGCGCAAGCCUGAUCCAGCAAUGCCGCGUGUGUGAAGAAGGUCUUCGGAUUGUAAAGCACUUUCGACGGGGACGAUGAUGACGGUACCGUAGAAGAACGCCCCGGCUAACUUCGUGCCAGCAGCCGC